UACGUAGGGUGCGAGCGUUGUCCGGAAUUAUUGGGCGUAAAGGGCUCGUAGGCGGUCUGUCGCGUCGGGAGUGAAAACUCGGGGCUCAACCCCGAGCCUGCAGUCGAUACGGGCAGACUAGAGUGCUGUAGGGGAGACUGGAAUUCCUGGUGUAGCGGUGGAAUGCGCAGAUAUCAGGAGGAACACCGAUGGCGAAGGCAGGUCACUGGGCCGCAACUGACGCUGAGGAGCGAAAGCAUGGGGAGCGAACAGG
RNAcentral lists this ribosomal RNA (253 nucleotides) under uncultured bacterium. Its description in RNAcentral is "partial 16S ribosomal RNA". It matches the Rfam family "Bacterial small subunit ribosomal RNA", at positions 524 to 776 of the family's 1533-position model. The record is from RNAcentral.